RNAcentral lists this unclassified non-coding RNA (608 nucleotides) under Hevea brasiliensis (rubber tree). The record is from RNAcentral. Lineage: Eukaryota; Viridiplantae; Streptophyta; Magnoliopsida; Malpighiales; Euphorbiaceae.
GUUUAGGUGAGCGUGUUUCUCGAGAAUUGCCCCACGUGCAAUAAUGAUAAGUGAGCCAAAUUCUUAUUCUUAUGAUUGAAAUCAUAAACUAGUCACAUGUUCUGGAGAUCUCUCUCCGGAACCAUAUAUGUUAGUGAUUGAUGUUGUCGGUGGCCAUUCCACAUCUGAAUCAAGAAAGGAAACCAGCUGUGACAUGAAAUCAGUUUCAACACAUCCAUUGCCCUCAAAUUUCACUGCAGGAAACUCUGCUGCUCCACUCUUAUUAAUCCCAUCCAUUUCUUCUUCUUUCAUGUUAUUAUCAUUCGCACCACUUGCCUUUGUCAAGUAGUCUGAAUCAAGAAUCUGACCAAAUUCUUCCACAUUAAAAUCCUUCAGAUAGUCCAACUCACACAGCUGCGCAUUUUCUAAUAAUGGUCCCAUUGCCACAUUAACUAGUUGAACAUCUUGUUGCUGAGUCGCUGUCGUGCCUGCAGGUGUUUGAAUGCUUUGACACAUCAGUUUUGGUAUUGUCCCUGGAGAUGGAGGUUGUUUCUUCUCAAGUUUAGGCAGGGUCAAUUGCAACUCUUGUGCCCUCUUAGCUAAAAUGGUGUUCCAGUAAUUCUUUAUUU